Salvelinus fontinalis (brook trout) is the source of this 5762-nucleotide long non-coding RNA. RefSeq lists it as uncharacterized. The record is from RefSeq and is a predicted model, not a curated record. NCBI's taxonomy places the organism in Eukaryota, Metazoa, Chordata, Actinopteri, Salmoniformes, Salmonidae. The transcript is spliced from 5 exons.
AAAGUUACAAGAAGAACAAGAAUGGUUACCUCAUCCGGUCAUGUGACAUUUGUUGUUUAUAGAUUUUUCGCUCACACCAGAUGUCUAGACCCUGGACAGAUAACAGAAAUACACAUUGCCACUCAAUCUGUAUUCAUCUUGUGACGUCUCCUUGGAAGAAGGAGAGAGGGACCCUAGGGGUGGCGUUAAGGAGUUGAAAUCCUGUUAAGACAAUCAGUGAUUUGUAGAUCAGUCAGCCUGCGUGUGGAGGAGGAUGAAGACCUUUAGUGACGUGCAAGACAUAGUAAAACACUGACAUGCAGCUUUUCUCAUAGACGGGAGGUUACAAGUGAAGGAAUCCGCUAGGAUUGGAAGUUGUCUCUUUAUGUUUCUUUUGAGAUGGUACGGCCUCUGAGGACCCCCAAGACCAACUGGACGAGGCUAUUAAAAAGGCAGAACACCUUGCUGAGGAGCUCAACCGAGAGAAGGACCCACAAGCCCAACUGGAUGAGGCCAUUAACGAGGCAAAAGGCUGGCUGAGGAGCUCAACCUAGAACGGGAAAAGAAGAAGAAGAAGACAAACAAGCCUCCAGGGAUUAGGUUCAGAUGGAGACAAAGGGAUGAGAGAGGACAGAUUGUUUCUCAAACCAGGAAGACAACUACAUCCACUUCUGUUGGUAAGUUUCAUCCCGUCUAGGUGUUUAAUUUUAUUGGUCCCUGAUGUGACUUUUUCCUUUCAAACAUACUGUAUCAUAGCAUAUCGAACAUUUGUUGCCGUGCCAUCCGGUCUAGUACCAUCUACCCACAGCACAUAAUAUAUUACAUGCAGGUCUGAUCCCACCUUUCCCUUUCUCUAACUGUUGUCUGUCUCUGAUGAAAAUACAUAUUUGACGAAAGGAGAUUCAGAAUUCCAGCAAAUCUUUAGAAUUAAAAACCUUUUUAUUACAAUUUUUUUCAACUCCAAGGGCCAGUACAUCAAGAGUCAGACUAGUGCAACAUUUUGGGCCAGUCACUGAGGAGGAAGAAUCAGGUAUUGAUGAGCGAUUGAAUAUACACUGCUCAAAAAAAUAAAGGGAACACUAAAAUAACACAUCCUAGAUCUGAAUGAAUGAACUAUUCUUAUUAAAUACUUUUUUCUUUACAUAGUUGAAUGUGCUGACAACAAAAUCACACAAAAAUUAUCAAUGGAAAUCAAAUUUAUCAACCCAUGGCGGUCUGGAUUUGGAGUCACACUCAAAAUUAAAGUGGAAAACCACACUAUAGGCUGAUCCAACUUUGAUGUAAUGUCCUUAAAACAAGUCAACAUGAGGCUCAGGAGUGUGUGUGGCCUCCACGUGCCUGUAUGACCUCCCUACAACGCCUGGGCAUGCUCCUGAUGAGGUGGCGGAUGGUCUCCUGAGGGAUCUCCUCCCAGACCUGGACUAAAGCAUCCGCCAACUCCUGGACAGUCUUUGGUGCAAUGUGGCGUUGGUGGAUAGAGCGAGACAUGAUGUCCCAGAUGUGCUCAAUUGGAUUCAGGUCUGGGGAACGAGCGGGCCAGUCCAAAGCAUCAAUGCCUUCCUCUUGCAGGAACUGCUGACACACUCCAGCCACAUGAGGUCUAGCAUUGUCUUGCAUUAGGAGGAACCCAGGGCCAACCGCACCAGCAAAUGGCCAACAUGGAUGGUGCUUGUCAGGCACUAUUGUAAAGUGGCUGUUCCACUGGAUGUCAUUAGGUGAAUGCACCAAUUUGUAAGUCGCUCUGGAUAAGAGCGUCUGCUAAAUGACUUAAAUGUAAAUGUAAUGUGGAAACAUAUAACCCUCAUGGGAAUAAAUAGUAUGUGCAAUAUCCACAAGAACUAAACAGUGAUGUAGCAAUGCAAUGUAAAACAACAUGAAUUCAGACUAAAAAAAAAUCCUCAAGGUCGCUACGAUGUCACAGUGCCUGUGCUGACCUGCACAACUUGUCUUAGCACCUGGACAGCAAACUUGGCAGAUCUGAUAAAGAAUGGGUACUGGCCUGCCACUGUCAACCGUGACACCAUAUACCAGGUAGAUGUGUUCAGCUCUUUUGAGGAGCUGAAAGUGUCAGCCCCAGGAAUGUCCCGUCUGGCGUUUAUGCGGAUUCUGGAGCAGCGAACUGACUUCUUUAGCAGGGUAACAAUCAAUUAUACUCAGCUUUACCAAUGUAUGACUUCAGGUCAACAAUAUGUUAAAGUCAUGUUACACAAAGUAUUGUAACAAAAUGUAUUUCCUGUACUACAACUACGUUAAAACUUCAGGUCUCUUGCUAUAGUAUGUGUUAGCCUCCUGCACCACUGUCCUGCCAUGCCCCUUAUCUGUGCCCCUCUUGCAUCCAAUAUUUCCUGCUCUUUACAACAUAAAUACUCGUCCUACUUUUGCAUUGGCUUUCACCUGCUUUGCUGUCAACACUAUGCACUGGCCCUGCUUUAACUCAAAUCCAGUCAGCCAUAGUGAAUUAUAGUAUGUUUUGUUUAUACUAUUGUUGUAAGUUAUUUCAUAUAUUUCGCAUAUGUAUUUUUCCCUUACCAGAACGGAAUGAUCUGUGCGGACACUUUUCAAAAAAGCUUCUUUGAGUGGACGUACUGCCGCUCUGAAAUUGAUCAGGUCUGCGAUAUGUUCCCCCUGUUCCCCUGGCAUGUGUCAGUGGACGGGAACAAGAAGCUGUAUCGAUUCAAAUAUAGGUAACUCUGGGUCUUCCAUUCCUGUGGCGGUCCAUGAGAGCCAAUUUCACCAUAACGCUUGAUGGUUUUGCAACUGCACUUGAAGAAACUUUCAAAGAUCUUGAAAUGUUCAAUAUUGACUGACCUUCGUGUCUUAAAGUAAUGAUGGACUGUCAUUUCUCUUUGCUUUUUUGAGCUGUUCUUGCCAUGCCUUCUUGCUUGCCUUCUGUAUAUCCCCCCAACCUUGUCACAACACAACUAAUUGGCUCUAACAUUUAAGAUGGCACACCUGUUAAUUGAAAUGCAUUCCAGGUGACUACCUCAUGAAGCUGGUUGAUGAAAUGUUAAAAGUGUGCAAAGCUGUCAUCAAGGCAAAGGCUGGCUACUUUGAAGAAUCUCAAAUAGAAAAUAUAUAUUUGAUUUGUUUAACACUUUUUUGGUUACUACAUGAUUGUUAUUUUCUAGAGUUGAUGUCUUCACUAUUAUUUAAAAAAUGUAGAAAAUAGUAAAAAAAAAUAAAGAAGAACCCUUGAAUGAGUAGGUGUUCUAAAACUUUUGACUGGUACUGUAUAUAUAUAUAUAUAUAUAUAUAUAUAUAUUACAUUUAAAGUACCUCGGAUCUCGGUGUCUUCAUGUGUAGCUACGGUCCUGGAGAGUGUGAAGGAAGGCAACUAAAGCAGUUAUUUAUUCUGUGAAUCUUUGAUUUUGUAUUGAUGCUGAAUAUUAACAGCUGCUAGUUUGUGGUCGGAUCUGACUCUUUAUGUCCCUUUGUAAUGCACCCCAUCUAAAAGGGCUAUGUACCCUUAUGGUGGAAAAAGAGUACCUGUUCCAGCCCAUAGGAUGUCAAAAUAGAUACACUAGAUGGCGUUAAAGUUUAAAAUAUAAUGCAUGUGUCACCGACUAGUGAAGUCAGGAUAACUCAUCAACUCUUGGUACUGUAGGGGCGGGGGGAGGGGAGGGAGGGGAAAGUAUGUAUGUUAUAAUUCACUCCAUUUAACAGCUUUCAAACACAGGUUAGAAAAUGGACUUCUGGGGAAAUACAUUUCUGGAGGAUCACAAAAAUAUGUUUGCUUAUUAAACCAAUAGGGGCUGCAGGGUAGCAUAGUAGUUAGUGUCAGACUAGUAACCGAAAGGUUCCAAAAUCGAAUCCCCGAGCUGACAAGACAAAAAUCUGUUGUUCUGUUCGUAGGCCGUCAUUGAAAAUAAGAAUUUGUUCUUAACUGACUUGCCUAGUUAAAGGUUAAAAAGUGUUUGGUACAAGUUCACUUUCUAGGCCUAGCUGUGUACCUCACAUCUGAAGGAUGGAUUAGAAACUUGGGAACCAAGCUGGUUACCUCACAUCUGAAGGAUGGUUUAGGAACUUGGGAACCAAGCUGGUUACCUCACAUCUGAAGGAUGGAUUAGAAACUUGGGAACCAAGCUGGUUACCUCACAUCUGAAGGAUGGUUUAGGAACUUGGGAACCAAGCUGGUUACCUCACAUCUGAAGGAUGGUUUAGGAACUUGGGAACCAAGCUGGUUACCUCACAUCUGAAGGAUGGAUUAGAAACUUGGGAACCAAGCUGGUUACCUCACAUCUGAAGGAUGGAUUAGAAACUUGGGAACCAAGCUGGUUAUCUCACAUCUGAAGGAUGGAUUAGAAACUUGGGAACCAAGCUGGUUACCUCACAUCUGAAGGAUGGAUUAGAAACUUGCGAACCAAGCUGGUUACCUCACAUCUGAAGGAUGGAUUAGAAACUUGGGAACCAAGCUGGUUACCUCACAUCUGAAGGAUGGAUUAGAAACUUGGGAACCAAGCUGGUUACCUCACAUCUGAAGGAUGGAUUAGAAACUUGGGAACCAAGCUGGUUACCUCACAUCUGAAGGAUGGAUUAGAAACUUGGGAACCAAGCUGGUUACCUCACAUCUGAAGGAUGGAUUAGAAACUUGGGAACCAAGCUGGUUACCUCACAUCUGAAGGAUGGAUUAGAAACUUGGGAACCAAGCUGGUUACCUCACAUCUGAAGGAUGGUUUAGAAACUUGGGAACCAAGCUGGUUACCAGUGUAGCCUGUUAUCACCUGGACUCUAUUUUCACACCAAGGAAAGGCUUCCGUCAUAGAUGUCAAUUUACAGAAAAUUAAAAUAAAUAAUUACAGGGUCAGUUUGGAGUUGUCAAGAGCACAAACUGUUCUGGGAUCAGGCUAGUGUAGAGUUAUCCUGGGUGUCAGUCUGUUUCUGAUCUCUUACCAACUCCUUAAUGGUACUGUGAUGUCACGUCUUCAUAAUGAGAGCACAAACUGUUCUGGGAUCAGGCUAGUGUAGAGUUAUCUGAUCUCUUACCAACUCCUUAAUGGUACUGUGAUGUCAUGUCUUCAUAAUGAGAGCACAAACUGUUCUGGGAUCAGACUAGUGUAGAGCUGCAUGGGAAUGUAAUGUAUAUGAAAGGGAUGUGUCAUGUUUCCCUCUUCCAUCAACAAGUUAAGUACUAAAUGAACGACAGAGUAGCACCUUUAUUGUUGCCUUUGAAAGAAAAGACAAAUUCAUAUAUUAUUUUUAAUGCAUUUUAUCCGUUUUUUUCAGCUGAGUGUGCAGCUUAGUUGCAUUGAAAACUACCAUGUUAUGAAUCUGUGGACUUCAAUGCUACAUUUGGGCUCCCGAGUGGCGCAGCGGUCUAAGGCACUGCAUCUCAGCGCUAGAGGUCUCACUACAGACACCUGGUUUGAAUCCAGGCUGUAUCACAACCGGCCGUGAUUGGGAGUCCCAUGGGCGGUACACAAUUUUCCCAGUGUUGCCCGGGUUCGGCCAGUGUAUGUCUUCAUUGUAAAUAAGAAUUUGUUCUAAACUGACUUGGCGAGUUAAAUAAAGGUUAAAUGCUUGCAUUAAGAUUUUUCCAAAUAUUCCAUCAUAUUUUUAGUUAUAUUGUACUUUGUCAAACAUCCAUCCUAAAACAUAUUGUAAACCCCAAAUGUUUUGUUUUGUUGUUUUGUGUCUGAUCUUGUAGAACAACAUUGAAGGUUUGUAUUUGUCAUUUGAUGUGGAACAUUAAUCAUGAAUAGAAUUCUGCACUACCAAUGAUCCUUUGUGAUCUGUUAAUUCAGUAUAUAAUCCAAAAUUAAACUUGGAUACACAAUGAAUACAAA